Molecule: ribosomal RNA, 494 nt
Filed under: uncultured bacterium
Lineage: Bacteria
Description: partial 16S ribosomal RNA
Rfam family: Bacterial small subunit ribosomal RNA
Source: RNAcentral
AUUGAACGCUGGCGGCAGGCCUAACACAUGCAAGUCGAGCGGAAGGGGCUUCGGCCCCGAGAGCGGCGGACGGGUGAGGAUAGCGUGGGAAUCUGCCUGUAGAUGGGGGAUAGCCCGGAGAAAUCCGGAUUAAUACCGCAUAAUACCUGAGGGUUAAAGUGGAGGAUCGCAAGACUUCACGUCUACAGAUGAGCCCACGUCAGAUUAGCUAGUUGGUAGGGUAAAGGCCUACCAAGGCGACGAUCUGUAGCUGGCCUGAGAGGGUGGCCAGCCACACUGGAACUGAGACACGGUCCAGACUCCUACGUGAGGCAGCAGUGUGGAAUAUUGGACAAUGGGCGCAAGCCUGAUCCAGCCAUGCCGCGUGUGUGAAGAAGGCCUUCGGGUUGUAAAGCACUUUAAGUUGGGAGGAAGGUUCCAAGGCUAAUACCUUUGGGAAUUGACGUUACCGACAGAAUAAGCACCGGCUAAUUCCGUGCCAGCAGCCGCAGUAA